UCCGGCCCCGCCGAGCUGCGCCCGCUGCCUUCACACCCCGGACAUCCGCGCCACACUGUUGGAUCCUGGAUCCUGUUCUAGAAGGAGACGCUGAGUUCUCCCCACUCUACCUGGAGCUGCUGAGGUCAAGUGGAGAGUGCCGGGGCUGAAGCCCAGCGAGCCCCUCCCUGUCACACCACACUGCACAUGUGACACCAAAGGUGGCGUUCACCUCUUUUCAGACUUUCUGCGGUUGCCCUCACAUGGGCUGUCUGGAGGUGCACCCUCACUCUUCCUGAGGACUGUGGUUCCUUCUCCAUCACUGGUUCAUUCUGCAUGGUGUGACCCACCACGGCUCUGGAGUCGGAUUUCCACCCAGGUCAUUCAGCUGAGACCUGCGCUUCCCAGGCCUACCCGUGACAUGUGCUCAGUUACCUGAGCUGCUGGUGGUCACUCAUGUGGCUAUAGCCUGCUGCCUGGAGGCCAGGCCUCCUGCUUCCCCCUCUCCUCACCACAGCCUGUUGGGAUGGAACAGGACAGGGGGUGAGACCGUGGUGCUUUCACACUCAGCCUCCAUGGACAUCCUGUCAUUCCCACCCGGGGAGGUCUGGUCCCCACCCUGGGUGUCCCAGCCUAGCUCCGCUACGAGUGUGAGGGCCCAGGGCAACCGCCUAGCCCUCAUCUGCCCCCUGCACUGCAUCCUCCCCACUCAUUCAUUCCACCGGCAUUUAUUGAGCAUCUACUGUGUGCCAGAUGCAAAGAAGACAGUGGGAUAACUGGGUAAGGAGCAUUCCAGGCAGAGGGAGCAGGCAGUGCAAACAUGGGAGAUGCGGUUGCAGUGAGAAGGAGCAGAGGAGACCAGGAGUUGAGGUGACUGCAGAGCGAUUGCAGAGCUCAUAGACGUGAUGAAGACCAGCUGGGCACUGCAGCGGCUCUGGCUUCUGCUGUGAGGGACGGGGAGCUGUGGAGACUCCCUCUGUUUGGUCCCAUUUCCAUAUUGCUGAGCACCUGCUGCAUGCUCUCUGUCCUGCUCAGAGCCAGUACCUGGAUGGAGACUGUGUGUUCUGGG
This 1048-nucleotide non-coding RNA is filed under the name Pan troglodytes (chimpanzee). The record is from RNAcentral. Lineage: Eukaryota; Metazoa; Chordata; Mammalia; Primates; Hominidae.